Molecule: long non-coding RNA, 169 nt
Organism: Dioscorea cayenensis subsp. rotundata (Guinea yam)
Lineage: Eukaryota; Viridiplantae; Streptophyta; Magnoliopsida; Dioscoreales; Dioscoreaceae
Exons: 3
Source: RefSeq, a predicted model, not a curated record
GCAAGGUUGGGGAACAAAAGAGAAAUUGAAGGAGCUUCAAGGUUGGCCAACUUCACCAAGUAAAUGCCCAUUUGAUCUCUUCAAAAUGUUGAUUCUAGUGUUUGAAAUCGAUGUGAAGUGGUUGUUGGGGAGAUAUCCAAGUGCUUGGAAGAAAUGUUAGUAUGGGGAA